AUAUGUUGGGGCAUCUUUUGGGUAUAUGCCCAAGAGAGGUAUAGCUGGAUCCUCAGGCAGUUCAAUGUCCAAUUUUCUGAGGAACUUCCAGACUGAUUUCCAGAAUGGUUGUACCAGUCUGCAACCCCACCAACAAUGGAGGAGUGUUCCUCUUUCUCUGCAUCCUUGCCAGCAUCUGCUGUCACCUGAGUUUUUGAUCUUAGCCAUUCUCACUGGUGUGAGGUGAAAUCUCAGGGUUGUUUUGAUUUGCAUUUCCCUUAUGACUAAAGAUGUUGAACAUUUCUUUAGGUGUUUCUCAGCCAUUCGGCAUUCCUCAGCUGUGAAUUCUUUGUUUAGGUCUGAACCCCAUUUUUUAAUAGGGUUAUUUGUCUCCCUGCGGUCUAACUUCUUGAGUUCUUUGUAUAUUUUGGAUAUAAGGCCUCUAUCUGUUGUAGGAUUGGUAAAGAUCUUUUCCCAAUCUGUUGGUUGCCGUUUUGUCCUAACCACAGUGUCCUUUGCCUUACAGAAGCUUUGCAGUUUUAUGAGAUCCCAUUUGUCAAUUCUUGAUCUUAGAGCAUAAGCCAUUGUUAACCUGGGACUUUUAUUUCUUAUGAUAUA
Molecule: long non-coding RNA, 597 nt
Filed under: Rattus norvegicus (Norway rat)
Lineage: Eukaryota; Metazoa; Chordata; Mammalia; Rodentia; Muridae
Description: long non-coding RNA NONRATT020507
Source: RNAcentral